CCUGGUAGUCCACGCUGUAAACGAUGUCGAUUUGGAGGUUGUGCCCUUGAGGCGUGGCUUCCGGAGCUAACGCGUUAAAUCGACCGCCUGGGGAGUACGGCCGCAAGGUUAAAACUCAAAUGAAUUGACGGGGGCCCGCACAAGCGGUGGAGCAUGUGGUUUAAUUCGAUGCAACGCGAAGAACCUUACCUACUCUUGACAUCCAGAGAACUUAGCAGAGAUGCUUUGGUGCCUUCGGGAACUCUGAGACAGGUGCUGCAUGGCUGUCGUCAGCUCGUGUUGUGAAAUGUUGGGUUAAGUCCCGCAACGAGCGCAACCCUUAUCCUUUGUUGCCAGCGGUUCGGCCGGGAACUCAAAGGAGACUGCCAGUGAUAAACUGGAGGAAGGUGGGGAUGACGUCAAGUCAUCAUGGCCCUUACGAGUAGGGCUACACACGUGCUACAAUGGCAUAUACAAAGAGAAGCGACCUCGCGAGAGCAAGCGGACCUCAUAAAGUAUGUCGUAGUCCGGAUUGGAGUCUGCAACUCGACUCCAUGAAGUCGGAAUCGCUAGUAAUCGUAGAUCAGAAUGCUACGGUGAAUACGUUCCCGGGCCUUGUACACACCGCCCGUCACACCAUGGGAGUGGGUUGCAAAAGAAGUAGGUAGCUUAACCUUCGGGAGGGCGCUUACCACUUUGUGAUUCAUGACUGGGGUGAAGUCGUAACAAGGUACCAAGGGCGAA
This 723-nucleotide ribosomal RNA is filed under the name uncultured Serratia sp. RNAcentral's name for it is "bacterial SSU rRNA". It matches the Rfam family "Bacterial small subunit ribosomal RNA", at positions 786 to 1509 of the family's 1533-position model. The record is from RNAcentral. Lineage: Bacteria; Pseudomonadati; Pseudomonadota; Gammaproteobacteria; Enterobacterales; Yersiniaceae.